UAUCGAUAUGACCAAGGGCCACGCUCACCAAUAGAGCCGGGGUACGAGAAAAGUGGUAAGGAAACAAAAAUUCUUAGGUGCGUGCACUAAAGGAGGGCACCAUGCACCACCUUGGCUAUGCACCACCAUAGCCUUAAACUAAUUAAAAAAGUAACAAUAGGAUAAUAACUAGUGUUGCUAUGGCUAUGCACCACCAUGGCCUCAAACUGAUUAAAACUUUUCUGUUAUGGACAUUGUCCAUACUCAUGAUGCUUCUAACAUUAAAAAUUCUCUUUUGAAAAAAAAAUCUUAGCAAGUAUAGACAAUAAUAUGAAAAAAAAAGAAGCAAAAAUGAUGAUCUGACUCAAUAACAACUUCGAAAAUGGAGAUAUGAAAUAUUUUUAUGCCGGCUCU
RNAcentral lists this long non-coding RNA (393 nucleotides) under Phoenix dactylifera (date palm). Its description in RNAcentral is "long non-coding RNA (PDAC_LNC003258)". The record is from RNAcentral. Lineage: Eukaryota; Viridiplantae; Streptophyta; Magnoliopsida; Arecales; Arecaceae.